This 531-nucleotide long non-coding RNA is filed under the name Mytilus galloprovincialis (Mediterranean mussel). The record is from RNAcentral. Lineage: Eukaryota; Metazoa; Mollusca; Bivalvia; Mytilida; Mytilidae.
GGCGAGCUCUGCACUACAUUUGAUACGGAUAACUGUGUGUCUGUUCGUAAGCAAACGUCCCUGAAAUGGUCUUAUCGCACAAUAACCAGUAGAGAUGAUUCAAUCUCGAACAAUUAUUGUUAAAAGGCUCCUGUAUGCCCACCUCUCUCUUUUCAGGAUUGUAUUGUAUGCAAUGGGUUUCUUUCUGACUAAGCUUCAUCAUGCUUGAUUUUCCCUAGCAGGUGGCAUAGGGGGUCUUUUUGAUCUCGGAUAGUCUUUUAUAUCGUGUAUUGCCUAAUUUUUAUUCUCUAAACGACUUAUAGUGGAAAAGUGAUGAACGACAAUACGUGCAAUUGUCACAGCGACAUUCCUGCCUCUCUCAUGCUGAUAAUCUGCCAUCUUGCUGCUGUUAUGAGUUGUGGAGGACCUAUUUCAAGGUGUCAAUCACAUAACUUUAUAAACUUGGUUAUUUAAAGUGUUGAAAACAAUGAGGAUGAAACACAUGUUUUGCUGUGUACGGGUACAGGAGCUGCAUGUGCAGAUAAGAACUUA